AUCCUAUGCAUUCAAUUUGGAUAAAGAUGAUUGUGAAAAGCAAUAAGAAGCUGAAAUAUUUGUGUAGAUUUUCUUAAAUUCUGAUUUUACUUUUGCAGUCAUAUUUCCUUUUGAUAUUCAGAGACUUGCCCUUAAUGCAAAUUAGGAAAGAGAAGUUUAUCCUAUAAAGAGAAAUACAAUCCUAUAUGCUUCAUGGACUCGCUUCAAUUUUGUCUACGACUUGAGAACAACAGCAUUACUUUGAUAUGCAGUUUUGGCACAUGCAAUUCACUGGAGAUGGUACUGAAGAUUCUGAGCUUGAAAUGCUAAAUUCCCCCUCUUUAGGAGAGGUGGGACGCAGAUCACUUCCUUUAGGCAUUUUUCCUGCUCUCAACUUUUGCUGAGAGGUGAUUCUGACAGCAUGCCUCUUGGAAGGUGAUAUGCAACUCUGGGUGUGUUUUACAUGAUUCUCCCUCGCAACUCUUGGUCUAGGUGCAGCGCAAAAUGCAACAUAUUUAUGAAGGCAGCAAUCGAGUUGCAGAUGCCUUCGAAAAUGUGGGAGUGAAAGCGCCUUCUCGGCUGCUUCUUUGGAAAAAGAAGGAUGGACAAAUAUUUCAAGGAGCCUUGUAUGGGUGGAAUAAAAGAAGUUAAGUGGAGGCUCUGCGGCUCCACCUUC
Long non-coding RNA from Ipomoea nil (Japanese morning glory), 655 nucleotides. RefSeq lists it as uncharacterized. The transcript has 5 exons. NCBI's taxonomy places the organism in Eukaryota, Viridiplantae, Streptophyta, Magnoliopsida, Solanales, Convolvulaceae. The record is from RefSeq and is a predicted model, not a curated record.